RNAcentral lists this long non-coding RNA (659 nucleotides) under Musa acuminata (dwarf banana). RNAcentral's name for it is "long non-coding RNA (MACU_LNC006156)". The record is from RNAcentral. Lineage: Eukaryota; Viridiplantae; Streptophyta; Magnoliopsida; Zingiberales; Musaceae.
UUUUAUUAGUAAAACACCAUAUUUGAACUUUUGGACAUACUAAAUUUUCUUUUGAUUUAUAUUACUUGCAACUUGUAAGUUUCUAGAUUACAGGAUUAUCUGUUGUGUAAGCUUCUUACAUGUUAUAAGAACCAAACAUUUGCGUAAGAAAUACCUCAUUGAUCAGCAGGUGCUUUACUGUAAAUGAAGACUUUUACAGGCUUAAUUUCUUAUACCAAGGAAUCAACAUGCAUAAUGAAACGAGGGUCACAUUCUUCUGAAUGACAAGCAUAUGAAUAUUUGGAUGUAAGAUGAGAAAAUUGUUGCAAGAUUCUACAUGGAGCAACUAAACUAAGUUUUGUUUAGCUCUUAGUUCACCUACUGCCCCUCAUAAAAAAAGAAAAAGAAAAAGGAAAACUGGCCUGAGGCCAAGAUAUUGUUGGCUACCUUUACAUUUUAGAUGGAACCAUUCACCAAUAUUUUAGCAAGAUAAAAACCUGGCCUUUGUUACUCUCUAUUGUUCACUGAACUCUAAUUAGACUUGUAGACAUCACCACUUCAAGUUUGAUAUCUGAAUUCCAUCCACCUAUAUCUGAAUUCCAUCCACCUAUAGUACUCUUAGUUGACAUAAUUCUCAUGACCCAACCAAAUAUUAGUUCACUUGUACCCCAUAUAAGCUU